UCUUGGAUGUAAAUAAACCAGAGUACUAUGAAUGUUGUAAAUUUAAAACUCAAAGAACUUGGCGGUGUUUUAGACCACUCAGGGGAACCUGUCUCGUAAUCGACAAUCCACGUUGUACCUGACCUUUUUUUGUUUUCAGUUUGUAUACCGUUGUCGUCAGGUAACUUUUUAGAAUAGAGAAGUUGGCUGGAAAAAUAUAAUUUAGUACGUCAAAUCAAGGUGCAGCUUAUAGAAAGGGGAGGAUGGGUUACAAUUAUUAUUUAUAAUUACGAAAGGAGGACUUGAAAGUAAAUUGGAUAAAAAUAAAUUUGAAUAAGGCUCUGAAACGUGU
This 331-nucleotide ribosomal RNA is filed under the name Terebra laevigata. RNAcentral describes it as "partial 12S ribosomal RNA". Lineage: Eukaryota; Metazoa; Mollusca; Gastropoda; Neogastropoda; Terebridae. The record is from RNAcentral.